AGUCGUAACAAGGUCUCGUUGGUGAACCAGCGGAGGGAUCAUU
Molecule: ribosomal RNA, 43 nt
Filed under: Trichoderma harzianum
Lineage: Eukaryota; Fungi; Ascomycota; Sordariomycetes; Hypocreales; Hypocreaceae
Description: partial 18S ribosomal RNA
Source: RNAcentral